This 535-nucleotide unclassified non-coding RNA is filed under the name Hevea brasiliensis (rubber tree). Lineage: Eukaryota; Viridiplantae; Streptophyta; Magnoliopsida; Malpighiales; Euphorbiaceae. The record is from RNAcentral.
GGGAGGAUGUGGGGGUAUGGAAGGGAGGGAGUAUAAGAUUAGGGUUAGGACUAGGGUUUUCAUGUUGUAGAAAUGGCUGAUCUAAAUUUGCUGGAAAUAAUAAUGAUGAGAUAUUGAUUUGUGGUGGACCUGGAUCAGCUUCCCCUACGGGCUGGCAGGCUAACCAUGGUGGGACAUUACUAUCUGGUUUUGUAUUAAAAAGAUGGUGGCUUUCUUUCUCUCUUUUCACCGAUAGGCCUUGCAAAUUGAUCAUAUGAGAAGCGGAGGAGCUAGGCUGUUGAUGAGAAGAGAGAAGUGGGUGGUUCAAUGUGAUGGCUCUUGCACUCUCUUCUGCUAAUGCAUCACAGAAGGCUCUGUGGGUGAUGAAACUGUCCCUCCUAGAGAAAAGGGUUCCACAAUCACAUCUAUACUCUCUUGUGCCACAAAUCUUGGAAUGGGCUUUCCAGUCUGAUUGUACAGCAUAACGCUUUGAGCACUUUUCACACUUCCACUUCUUCUCACCAUGCUUUCUGCAGAAGUGCUUCUUGAUCCCUGU